AAAACAACAAUAAGGUAUAUCGUAAGCUGUAUAUGAGAUAUAAU
This 44-nucleotide non-coding RNA is filed under the name Trypanosoma brucei brucei. The record is from RNAcentral. Lineage: Eukaryota; Euglenozoa; Kinetoplastea; Trypanosomatida; Trypanosomatidae.